This 302-nucleotide long non-coding RNA is filed under the name Capsicum annuum. RNAcentral describes it as "long non-coding RNA (CANN_LNC015583)". Lineage: Eukaryota; Viridiplantae; Streptophyta; Magnoliopsida; Solanales; Solanaceae. The record is from RNAcentral.
AGCCAGCAGCAAGCCAAAUUUUUUAAAUAUAAAGCUUAAAAAAUUCAAGACCAUCUCUUAUAAUUAUUAAAUUAUACAUAUGACAAGCACGCUUAACAUGAAAUAUUUCAGGUAAUAGCGGAGAGAGAUUAGCUUUUAACUUUUUAAUAGCAUUCUUGUUGUUAGAAGCAUUAUCAAAAGCAACAUAAGACUUUUUUUUCAAUAGCAUAAAAUUUUGCAACUUUACUAAUCGAUUCAGCAAUAAAUUGUAUGUCUACGAUCUUCAUCAUACAAAAAAGCUAAAAUAUGUUUUUGCAUAACAA